Long non-coding RNA from Thalassophryne amazonica, 130 nucleotides. RefSeq lists it as uncharacterized. The transcript has 3 exons. The record is from RefSeq and is a predicted model, not a curated record. NCBI's taxonomy places the organism in Eukaryota, Metazoa, Chordata, Actinopteri, Batrachoidiformes, Batrachoididae.
UAAUACAGCUUGUUGUUUGGCGAAAUGUCCUAUUGGAUCAUUUAAGACGUCUCUGCUGUAAUAUUCACGCCGAGUGAAACUCUCAUCUUAUUUAAUGUUGUAUGCUAAUGGUCUGCUCCAUAAGGUUCCU